CAGUCGAACGGAGUUACGAUGAAACCUAGUGAUUCGUAACUUAGUGGCGGACGGGUGAGUAACGCGUGGAUAACCUGCCUUGCACUGGGGGAUAACACUUAGAAAUAGGUGCUAAUACCGCAUAAGCGCACAGAGCCGCAUGGCUCAGUGUGAAAAACUCCGGUGGUGUAAGAUGGAUCCGCGUCUGAUUAGCUGGUUGGCGGGGUAGAAGCCCACCAAGGCGACGAUCAGUAGCCGGCCUGAGAGGGUGAACGGCCACAUUGGGACUGAGACACGGCCCAAACUCCUACGGGAGGCAGCAGUGGGGAAUAUUGCACAAUGGGGGAAACCCUGAUGCAGCAACGCCGCGUGUGUGAAGAAGUCAUUCGUGAUGUAAAGCUCUAUCAGCAGGGAAGAAAAUGACGGUACCUGAGUAAGAAGCCCCGGCUAACUACGUGCCAGCAGCCGCGGUAAUACGUAGGGGGCAAGCGUUAUCCGGAUUUACUGGGUGUAAAGGGAGCGUAGACGGCCAGACAAGUCUGAAGUGAAAAUCCAGCGCUUAACGUUGGAAGUGCUUUGGAAACUGCCGGGCUAGAGUGCAGGAGGGGCAGGCGGAAUUCCUAGUGUAGCGGUGAAAUGCGUAGAUAUUAGGAGGAACACCAGUGGCGAAGGCGGCCUGCUGGACUGCAACUGACGUUGAGGCUCGAAGGCGUGGGGAGCAAACAGGAUUAGAUACCCUGGUAGUCCACGCGGUAAACGAUGAUUACUAGGUGUCGGGGGGCUAGAGCCCUUCG
Molecule: ribosomal RNA, 773 nt
Filed under: uncultured bacterium
Lineage: Bacteria
Description: bacterial SSU rRNA
Rfam family: Bacterial small subunit ribosomal RNA
Source: RNAcentral